UACGUAGGGGCAAGCGUUGUCCGGAAUCAUUGGGCGUUAAAGAGGCGCGUAGGCGGCCCUGUAAGUCCGCUGUGAAAGUCAAGGGCUCAACCCUUGAAAUGCCGGUGGAUACUGCAGGGCUAGAGUCCGGAAGAGGCGAGUGGAAUUCCUGGUGUAGCGGUUGAAAAUGGCGCAGAUAUCAGGAGGAACACCGAUGGCGAAGGCAGCUCGCUGGGACGGUAGCUGACGCUGAGGCGCAGAAGAGCGUAGGGA
RNAcentral lists this ribosomal RNA (252 nucleotides) under uncultured bacterium. RNAcentral's name for it is "partial 16S ribosomal RNA". It matches the Rfam family "Bacterial small subunit ribosomal RNA", at positions 524 to 767 of the family's 1533-position model. The record is from RNAcentral.